AAAUUGAAGAGUUUGAUCAUGGCUCAGAUUGAACGCUGGCGGCAGGCCUAACACAUGCAAGUCGAACGGUAGCACAGAGAGCUUGCUCUCGGGUGACGAGUGGCGGACGGGUGAGUAAUGUCUGGGAAACUGCCUGAUGGAGGGGGAUAACUACUGGAAACGGUGGCUAAUACCGCAUAACGUCGCAAGACCAAAGAGGGGGACCUUCGGGCCUCUUGCCAUCAGAUGUGCCCAGAUGGGAUUAGCUUGUUGGUGAGGUAACGGCUCACCAAGGCGACGAUCCCUAGCUGGUCUGAGAGGAUGACCAGCCACACUGGAACUGAGACACGGUCCAGACUCCUACGGGAGGCAGCAGUGGGGAAUAUUGCACAAUGGGCGCAAGCCUGAUGCAGCCAUGCCGCGUGUAUGAAGAAGGCCUUCGGGUUGUAAAG
RNAcentral lists this ribosomal RNA (431 nucleotides) under Salmonella enterica. RNAcentral's name for it is "bacterial SSU rRNA". It matches the Rfam family "Bacterial small subunit ribosomal RNA", at positions 1 to 430 of the family's 1533-position model. The record is from RNAcentral. Lineage: Bacteria; Pseudomonadati; Pseudomonadota; Gammaproteobacteria; Enterobacterales; Enterobacteriaceae.